GGGUUGUGAGGUUAAGCGACUAAGCGUACACGGUGGAUGCCCUGGCAGUCAGAGGCGAUGAAGGGCGUGCUAAUCUGCGAUAAGCGCCGGUAAGGUGAUAUGAACCGUUAUAACCGGCGAUACCCGAAUGGGGAAACCCAGUGUGAUUCGUCACACUAUCAUUAACUGAAUCCAUAGGUUAAUGAGGCGAACCGGGGGAACUGAAACAUCUAAGUACCCCGAGGAAAAGAAAUCAACCGAGAUUCCCCCAGUAGCGGCGAGCGAACGGGGAGGAGCCCAGAGCCUGAAUCAGCAUGUGUGUUAGUGGAAGCGUCUGGAAAGGUGCGCGAUACAGGGUGACAGCCCCGUACACAAAAGCGCAUGUGCUGUGAGCUCGAUGAGUAGGGCGGGACACGUGGUAUCCUGUCUGAAUAUGGGGGGACCAUCCUCCAAGGCUAAAUACUCCUGACUGACCGAUAGUGAACCAGUACCGUGAGGGAAAGGCGAAAAGAACCCCGGCGAGGGGAGUGAAAAAGAACCUGAAACCGUGUACGUACAAGCAGUGGGAGCACAGGUUUACCUGUGUGACUGCGUACCUUUUGUAUAAUGGGUCAGCGACUUAUAUUCUGUAGCAAGGUUAACCGUAUAGGGGAGCCGUAGGGAAACCGAGUCUUAACCGGGCGUUAAGUUGCAGGGUAUAGACCCGAAACCCGGUGAUCUAGCCAUGGGCAGGUUGAAGGUUGGGUAACACUAACUGGAGGACCGAACCGACUAAUGUUGAAAAAUUAGCGGAUGACCUGUGGCUGGGGGUGAAAGGCCAAUCAAACCGGGAGAUAGCUGGUUCUCCCCGAAAGCUAUUUAGGUAGCGCCUCGUGAAUUCAUCUCCGGGGGUAGAGCACUGUUUCGGCUAGGGGGCCAUCCCGGCUUACCAACCCGAUGCAAACUGCGAAUACCGGAGAAUGUUAUCACGGGAGACACACGGCGGGUGCUAACGUCCGUCGUGAAGAGGGAAACAACCCAGACCGCCAGCUAAGGUCCCAAAGUCAUGGUUAAGUGGGAAACGAUGUGGGAAGGCCCAGACAGCCAGGAUGUUGGCUUAGAAGCAGCCAUCAUUUAAAGAAAGCGUAAUAGCUCACUGGUCGAGUCGGCCUGCGCGGAAGAUGUAACGGGGCUAAACCAU
RNAcentral lists this ribosomal RNA (1159 nucleotides) under Salmonella enterica. RNAcentral describes it as "partial 23S ribosomal RNA". It matches the Rfam family "Bacterial large subunit ribosomal RNA", at positions 1 to 1190 of the family's 2925-position model. The record is from RNAcentral. Lineage: Bacteria; Pseudomonadati; Pseudomonadota; Gammaproteobacteria; Enterobacterales; Enterobacteriaceae.